UGUUAUUAUACAAAAAAAAAAAGAUGAAAUUAUCAAUCUAACCCCAUAUAAUUUGUGAAAAACAAUUGUGUUAUAGUGAAAAGACCAUUUUGCCUCCGAUAACUAGUUCAAAAGUUUUUUGUUCAAGGUCAAUUUCAUAAUCACACUAUUACAAUGAAUAGUAAUAUGAGUUUUGGUGAACAAUAACUUUCCUAGGAGAAUUAGUUUUUUUUAAAUUUAAUCGGCCACUAAAAAUUAAAAUGAAAGAAAUUAUUAUAUAAUAUCACUGAACUAAAGGAAAUGGAAUUAGCUUCCACGUACAUUUAUGUAUGUGUGUGUUAUGUCUGGUCACUACUAGUUGAUGCACUGUGACAUAAUAUAGUCAUCAUCAUUGUGCCUGUUAUAGAGGUCCAAUCAGGAAGUAAAAGAUAAAAAAGCUUUUGCAGUUUACUUCAGAAAAA
This is a long non-coding RNA of Populus euphratica (Euphrates poplar), 440 nucleotides long. RefSeq lists it as uncharacterized. The transcript is spliced from 2 exons. The record is from RefSeq and is a predicted model, not a curated record. Lineage: Eukaryota; Viridiplantae; Streptophyta; Magnoliopsida; Malpighiales; Salicaceae.